GUGCAAUGGCGCCAUCUCAGCUCACUGCAACCUCCCCCUCCCGGGUUCACGCCAUUCUCCUGCCUCAGCCUCCCGAGUAGCUGGGACUACAGGUGCCCACCACCGCGCCCGGCUAAAUUUUUGUAUUUUUAGUAGAGACGGGGUUUCACCGUGGGCUCGAUCUCCUGACCUUGUGAUCCACCCGCCUUGGCAUCCCAAAGUGCUGGGAUUACAGGCGU
This 218-nucleotide long non-coding RNA is filed under the name Homo sapiens (human). RNAcentral describes it as "HSALNT0299404". Lineage: Eukaryota; Metazoa; Chordata; Mammalia; Primates; Hominidae. The record is from RNAcentral.